UGUUACAUGUGGAAUGCAGAAGAAUUCGUGCAGACUGUGUAGUUUAUAACUGCAACUCAAGUGAAGCGGAAGGAGUUGUGCUGUCCAAGCCAGGACGUGGGACUAUUUUGCUGGGUAUGUACUCUUGAGGUGGUACUUGUCUUGUAUUGUGGUAGAGCUGGCUCAUAUUGACCAGCGAAUACUAUUUGGGGCUGAAAUAAAGCCUGUUGGUUGGCAUUUGUGUUUUUACUGA
Long non-coding RNA from Juglans microcarpa x Juglans regia, 232 nucleotides. RefSeq lists it as uncharacterized. The record is from RefSeq and is a predicted model, not a curated record. Lineage: Eukaryota; Viridiplantae; Streptophyta; Magnoliopsida; Fagales; Juglandaceae. The transcript is spliced from 2 exons.